ACGUGGAGCCAGGGAUGGAUCUCUCUCUCUCCCUCCCUCCCUCCCUCCCUCCCUCCCUCCCUCUCUCUCUCUCUCUCUCUCUCUCUCUCUCUCUCUCUCUCUCCUCAAAGUUCUUCCCUGUCCCCACUUUGCUGAAAGCCAGUUCUCCUGGACCCCCUUCCACGGUGCAAACAGCGAAUUUGCAUCAGUGGCUGUCUUCUGCAGGAAGUGACCGAACACCAACUCUGCAGGAGAACUCUCGCUAAAUCCGGCAGGGCAGAUGCUCGGCACAUACACUGGUGCCUCGCUGACUCUCCCAGAGGGAGCCAGCCGAGCAGGCUCAGUAAGGACCCCCCCCACACACACACUCAGGAGGUAGCUCUUCCCGGCAGGGGUUUGUGUUAGUGGAGCACUGUUCGUUCAAGAAGUGGGAACUGCGGCUCUCAGUAAUGUUGGCAAUGAAAACAGGUUCACGUGAGCGCUGGAAGUGAGCUGCCGUCCAUUCACAUGAACUUCUUCCUGAGAACGAGCAACACAGUCUGGUGAUUUCAGUCUGGGGCUUUCGGAUUGUCCCUUAGUCCACAAGCUUCACCCACAGCGACCACCAGCCAGAGCCGCUCUAAGGACAACCAUAAACAGAAGGUACUGGAGAGGCCUGCAUGAGUCACCAGAAGCAAAGCUUUGUCCCUGAGUCCAACAGAAGUUAUAAAAGCCUUCAACUUUAUCCACCGACUCAUGAGUAAAUUUUCUUGUGGAUGGUGACCAUCAAAAGAGGAAGACGUUAUUAUUAAAAUGGCUUGAUCAGGUGGUGCUGUCUACACGCACAGUUUUACCGCCUGAAUGGUGCUUCCAUCAUGGGGUCAGUUGUGUUAAGGUCUGGGGGCCUGUUGCAUUCUGGACUGUGUCAAGCCUGAGACCUUUGCCCAUGACCUUGGGCUCAUAGAACCCGAAGGAGGCAGUGCUUCCUGCCUUGUACAUGACCUCUAAAAAGGAGCGGGAGAAGGGUCACGUGCCCCUUCUCCCUGCUCCUGCCUGUGAGGUGGAUUCGCCCCUGGUCAGAUCAGAGGAUGACUUCAGCUGUCUACUCUGUUCUGUAUUCGUGAGUGUAUUUCCUCAAUUUACCUUAAUAAAAUUCCCUAAUACUUCUUAAACAUACUCCCAUGGAUUUAUCACUUUAUCUGGCACCCAACCACGUGGAUCUGAACCCCAUGAGCCCCUACUGGGACUACUGGUGGGACCAAACCCUAACACCCGUGGGUGGCUGCUGGGGAGGUUCUCCGCCCUGCAGAGCCUGCACAAACUGCCCCGCCCCUCCGGAACUGCCUGACUCCUGCUCAAGGGACCGCCUGAAUACAGCGGCCAUGCUGGGAGCCUGUAGGCCAGGCAGCGGUUCUUGUAACCACUGCCA
This is a non-coding RNA of Peromyscus maniculatus bairdii (prairie deer mouse), 1387 nucleotides long. The record is from RefSeq and is a predicted model, not a curated record. Lineage: Eukaryota; Metazoa; Chordata; Mammalia; Rodentia; Cricetidae.